This 433-nucleotide ribosomal RNA is filed under the name uncultured bacterium. Its description in RNAcentral is "bacterial SSU rRNA". It matches the Rfam family "Bacterial small subunit ribosomal RNA", at positions 670 to 1105 of the family's 1533-position model. The record is from RNAcentral.
CUAGUGUAGCGGUGAAUGCGUAGAUAUUAGGAGGAACACCAGUGGCGAAGGCGGCUUUCUGGACUGUAACUGACACUGAGGCAUGAAAGCGUGGGUAGCAAACAGGAUUAGAUACCCUGCUAGUCACGCCGUAAACGAUGGGUACUAGGUGUAGGAGGUAUCGACCCCUUCUGUGCCGUCGUUAACACAAUAAGUACCCCGCCUGGGGAGUACGGUCGCAAGACUAAAACUCAAAGGAAUUGACGGGGGCCCGCACAAGCAGCGGAGCAUGUGGUUUAAUUCGAAGCAACGCGAAGAACCUUACCUAGACUUGACAUCUCCUGAAUUACCCUUAACCGGGGAAGCCCUUCGGGGCAGGAAGACAGGUGGUGCAUGGUUGUCGUCAGCUCGUGUCGUGAGAUGUUGGGUUAAGUCCCGCAACGAGCGCAACCCU